CUGCACCUUUUUCCUGAAUUUUUGCACCAAUUUUUCAGCACAUAUCAACGUACACAACAAUCAUAAACCAUUAAGUAUAGCUUCUGCCUCUGUUUGGUCAAACAGACCGUCUCUCCAACUUUUCAGAACAGAAAUUCAGCACGUAGUUCAAAAUUGGCAGACUAAACAUAUGCACAUAUCUUCCCUUCCUCUAGAAUUCAAAC
RNAcentral lists this long non-coding RNA (203 nucleotides) under Salvia miltiorrhiza (redroot sage). RNAcentral's name for it is "long non-coding RNA (SMIL_LNC013191)". The record is from RNAcentral. Lineage: Eukaryota; Viridiplantae; Streptophyta; Magnoliopsida; Lamiales; Lamiaceae.